This 648-nucleotide ribosomal RNA is filed under the name uncultured Chloroflexota bacterium. RNAcentral describes it as "bacterial SSU rRNA". It matches the Rfam family "Bacterial small subunit ribosomal RNA", at positions 8 to 673 of the family's 1533-position model. Lineage: Bacteria; Bacillati; Chloroflexota. The record is from RNAcentral.
AGAGUUUGUCCUGGCUCAGGAUGAACGUUGGCGGCGUGCCUAAUACAUGCAAGUCGAACGGUAAGGCGCCCUUCGGGGUGCUGGAGAGUGGCGGACGGGUGAGUAACACGUAACUGAUCUGCCCUUUAGACUGGGAUAACCUUUGGAAACAGAGGCUAAUACCGGAUGAUAAAUCGGUAGUUAGAGAGCCGGUAGUGAAAGUGAAAGCGCUAAGGGAUGAGGUUGCGGGCCAUCAGCUAGUUGGUGAGGUAAAGGCUCACCGAGGCGAUGACGGCUAGGGGACCUGAGAGGGUGGCCCCCCACACUGGGACUGAGACACGGCCCAGACUCCUACGGGAGGCAGCAGUAAGGGAUAUUGCACAAUGGGCGGAAGCCUGAUGCAGCGACGCCGCGUGGGUGAAGAAGGUUUUCGGAUCGUAAAGCCCUUUUCUAUGUGACGAGGAAGGACGGUAGCAUAGGAAUAAGUGUCGGCUAACUACGUGCCAGCAGCCGCGGUAAAACGUAGGACACGAACGUUAUCCGGAGUUACUGGGCGUAAAGAGCGCGUAGGCGGUUGGUUAAGUUACCUAUGAAAGAUACCGGCUAAACUGGUAUAAGUUGGGUGAAACUGGUCGACUAGAGAGAAAUAGAGGGAAGUAGAAUUCCGGG